AUUUCUCCAGUUGGAAGCAACCAACUAGCAGGAAGAAGGAAAGUCGUUGGCACUCAUAACUGGAAAAGUGCCAGAAGUGCAAUCACAAUCCAAACCCGCCAACAGUGCCAUCAGGACUCUGCUCCCAAGAGUCAGCUCCAGUGGCUCCCAGCGGCUCCUAUUCAUUGCUCAACUCCUGGAGAAAGAAGAUCUCUUACCAGUGGCUCCAGCAAAAGCCCCAGGAAUCCUAAAUCUCAUGGGUCUCCUGUAACUUAAACGUCACUCCCUGAGCCAAUCGCUGACAGAUUUGCCCAGCAGAGAGAACUGGGGGACUGGCAGAAUAGAGGUGAAGGUGCCUGGAGGGCAGGGAAGGCUGUGUACGACGGUGGGGCACCCCAGAGUUACAAGGAGAGGUCUGGUCGUCAGAGAGAAUGUACUGUCUGGUUGGAGGAGGACCGUCACGUGCUGCUCGUCAGGAACCGGGCUGUAGAAUCCGCUGCUGAGGAUUCUGCAGGCCCCAUCGCCGAACUCCAGAAUUGACCCCGUGGUUCAGAUAAAAACUGAAGGAAGCCCUUAUUUAUUCUGCGGCCUCUCUGGCUCGAUCAGCAGGCCUGCCCAUGGCCUCGGGCCCAGAAGAACCGGUCUUCCCUCUUAGCUCCAAUCCCUUCAGGGGCGGAAAAUCACACAGCAAGGUUCGUAUUCCCGUGUUGUUGCAUUUUAUUUUGUUUUUAAGCUCUGAUCCUUCAUAAGGAAGUUGGCAUUUCUGAGCUAUUUUCCAUCAUGUGUAAUUUAAUAGAAAUGCCUUAUCUCUGUAGGGGGACGACUGAGGACUCCAGGCAUGGGGAUGGUUGGGGAGGGCUGGGGAGGCAGUGAUAGGGCCUGAGCAACCUAAUCUAAAAGAACAGGACAGGAACACAAAGAGAGCCCACCGUUGUUUCUCUUAGGCCAGAUUCCAUCCAUUAGAUUGAACGAACCCACAGCAUGCCAAUGACAGAAGCUUCUGUAACUUCCCAGUGAGCUAAUAAACUUCAGCAGGGUUCCAGGACUCCAAACCUCAUCAUCCCUAUGGUAAUCUUGGAGCAAUUCAUCAUUCAUCAACCCAUGGCCAGCAGUGAGCCCCUUUAAAUUCACUUUUAGCCGAUUGAAAUAAAAACAAAGCCCUGAAGAUAUUCUGAUGGAAUAGGCACACCUAAAAAUAGCUCGUGGAAUUCUAAAUUCUAAAUCCCAAAUUUCUGGAGCGUGAUUGAGCAAUUAUCUAUAAAACUGUUUAUACUUUUUGAAUCAUUUCACCUAGGGGAAUUUACCCCCAAAUAACCCCAAUGAAAUCAAUAUAAUUUGUAAAACAGAUUUCAUGGCAGCACAAAUUAUACAGUGAAAUUUGGAAACAGGCUCAUAAGAUAUGGUCUAUCAACAGGUUUGAAUACUGUGCUCAUUCAUGUAGAAAACAGUCUUAAUGACCAAGGACUGGGCUAGGCCUGGGGAUAUACAAACAUAAAUGUGAUCGGUCUGCUCCCAAGAGGCUCAUGACCAGGUCAGGGGUGUCCAAUUUCCUUGGUUCAAAUCCUGCUCCAUUACUUUCUAUCCAGACACCGUGGGGAAAGUUACCGAUGCCCUCUGAGCCUGUUUCCUCAUAUGAAAAAUAAAAAGAAUAAUAGUAAUCACCUAAUAGGUAAGUUAGGAGGGUAAUGCUUAUUAAGCACC
Long non-coding RNA from Ailuropoda melanoleuca (giant panda), 1680 nucleotides. The record is from Ensembl. NCBI's taxonomy places the organism in Eukaryota, Metazoa, Chordata, Mammalia, Carnivora, Ursidae.